Molecule: ribosomal RNA, 432 nt
Filed under: uncultured bacterium
Lineage: Bacteria
Description: bacterial SSU rRNA
Rfam family: Bacterial small subunit ribosomal RNA
Source: RNAcentral
UGGGGAAUUUUUGGCAAUGGGGGAAACCCUGACCAAGCAACGCCGCGUGGAUGAUGAAGUAUCUUGGUACGUAAAAUCCUUUCGACGGGGACGAAACCGCAAGGUUGACGGUACCCGUAGAAGAAGCCCCGGCUAACUCCGUGCCAGCAGCCGCGGUAAUACGGGGGGGGCAAGCGUUGUUCGGAAUUACUGGGCGUAAAGGGCGCGUAGGCGGCUCGCUAAGUCGGAUGUGAAAACUCUGGGCUCAACCCAGAGCCUGCAUUCGAAACUGACGGGCUCGAGUUCUGGAGGGGAAAGCGGAAUUCCUGGUGUAGCGGUGAAAUGCGUAGAUAUCAGGAGGAACACCGGUGGCGAAGGCGGCUUUCUGGACAGAAACUGACGCUGAUGCGCGAAAGCUAGGGGAGCAAACAGGAUUAGAUACCCCCGUAGUCC